GAUGAAGAACGCAGCGAAAUGCGAUACGUAAUGUGAAUUGCAAAUUCAGUGAAUCAUCGAGUCUUUGAACGCACAUUGCGCCCCCUGGUAUUCCGGGGGGCUUGCCUGUCCGAGCGUCAUUGCUGCCCUCAAGCACGGCUUGUGUGUUGGGCCCCGUCCUCCGAUCCCGGGGGACGGGCCCGAAAGGCAGCGGCGGCACCGCGUCCGGUCCUCGAGCGUAUGGGGCUUUGUCACCCGCUCUGUAGGCCCGGCCGGCGCUUGCCGAUCAACCCAAAUUUUUAUCCAGGUUGACCUCGGAUCAGGUAGGGAUACCCGCUGAACUUAAGCAUAUCAAUAAGCGGAGGA
Molecule: unclassified non-coding RNA, 345 nt
Filed under: soil metagenome
Description: partial contains 5.8S ribosomal RNA, internal transcribed spacer 2, and large subunit ribosomal RNA
Rfam family: 5.8S ribosomal RNA (bases 1-119)
Source: RNAcentral